AUUUGAUCCCUUCUCAUCGCCAUUUCCAACCACUUCUGGAGUCCUCCCAUGGGUCCGCCCAUCUACUACGCCCCCUUCAAAUCUAGGGUUUGAGCCUACAAGAAGAGAGGAUAAGUGGCGGAAACUUGAUGUCUAGAUCAAGUAUGGAGCCCAGGCGACAACCAUGGAAUCACUCGAUCGAUCAAACACGACGAAUUAGGUCAAUCAUGUCUGCUUAGAUCACGCACCAUCAUUUACGUCUGAUGAAGGACGACGGGGCCAUUACCUGCUGUCACUGGAUUCCAACCAUAUUUGACGUCCGGAAUUUCAGGCCCAGGGGAAGAUUGGAUGCUGAGAAGAGGAAGGCAAUCGAGGGUCUCAGGACUACUCAUCCAUGCAAUCAGGUAUACCAUCCUUCUUUUCGCAAAAAAAAAAAGUAACCAUCCUUCUGUUUCGACCAUCCCCAUGAAAGAAACCAUGAACAGCAUCUGCUGUGUUAACAAACAUAGAUGUUUAGUGUGAUACUUAGAGUCUGUUUCGAUACAUGAGCUAAUCAACCAGGAGAGCUAAUAGUUAGGCUAAUUUUUUAGCCAAGUCUCAAACUAGUUGUUAGCCAACUAGCUUUUUUUAGACAUGUUAGCCAACUAGUUUGGCUAAUUUUUAGCCCCAACUAGUAUAGCUAUGUCUAUGUGUAUCCAAAUAGUACGUACCAUGCUUGUACACUGCAU
Long non-coding RNA from Sorghum bicolor (sorghum), 707 nucleotides. RefSeq lists it as uncharacterized. The record is from RefSeq and is a predicted model, not a curated record. NCBI's taxonomy places the organism in Eukaryota, Viridiplantae, Streptophyta, Magnoliopsida, Poales, Poaceae. The transcript is spliced from 3 exons.